AUCUGUAGCUGGUCUGAGAGGACGACCAGCCACACUGGGACUGAGACACGGCCCAGACUCCUACGGGAGGCAGCAGUGGGGAAUUUUGGACAAUGGGGGCAACCCUGAUCCAGCAAUGCCGCGUGUGUGAAGAAGGCCUUCGGGUUGUAAAGCACUUUUGUCCGGAAAGAAAACCUGCCUGUUAAUACCGGGUGGGGAUGACGGUACCGGAAGAAUAAGCACCGGCUAACUACGUGCCAGCAGCCGCGGUAAUACGUAGGGUGCGAGCGUUAAUCGGAAUUACUGGGCGUAAAGCGUGCGCAGGCGGUCUGUUAAGACCGAUGUGAAAUCCCCGGGCUUAACCUGGGAACUGCAUUGGUGACUGGCAGGCUAGAGUAUGGCAGAGGGGGGUAGAAUUCCACGUGUAGCAGUGAAAUGCGUAGAGAUGUGGAGGAAUACCGAUGGCGAAGGCAGCCCCCUGGGCCAAUACUGACGCUCAUGCACGAAAGCGUGGGGAGCAA
RNAcentral lists this ribosomal RNA (500 nucleotides) under Burkholderia sp. Its description in RNAcentral is "bacterial SSU rRNA". It matches the Rfam family "Bacterial small subunit ribosomal RNA", at positions 279 to 771 of the family's 1533-position model. The record is from RNAcentral. Lineage: Bacteria; Pseudomonadati; Pseudomonadota; Betaproteobacteria; Burkholderiales; Burkholderiaceae.